RNAcentral lists this long non-coding RNA (285 nucleotides) under Elaeis guineensis (African oil palm). RNAcentral's name for it is "long non-coding RNA (EGUI_LNC076907)". The record is from RNAcentral. Lineage: Eukaryota; Viridiplantae; Streptophyta; Magnoliopsida; Arecales; Arecaceae.
CCACUAUGACAUUAUAAGUGCCUGUACUGUCAAAGAUCUAAGCUUUGUUAUUCACGUGUUUGUUGGGUUGUGAUUGUAUUACAAACUCUCCACAUGCAUCCCCACGUUUAUCGGACAGUAAGACAGAAGCUACUCACUAGAGGAUCAUACCUUAGAUCGUGCCAAGGUUCAUUGCUCUCCUAACCCCAAGUGGUAAUAACACUGGUUUCAAAGCCAUCACUCAUGAAUCCAACCUCUGUGGAAGUCGCCAAACUCCUAAUCCGGCUACUCCAGGCAUCCCCCAAC